Molecule: transfer RNA, 73 nt
Filed under: Pidorus atratus
Lineage: Eukaryota; Metazoa; Arthropoda; Insecta; Lepidoptera; Zygaenidae
Description: tRNA-Gln
Source: RNAcentral
UUAUAUUUUAAUUAUAAUUAAAUAUUAUAUUUUAGUGUAAGAAGCACAAUAAUUUUUGAUGUUAUUAGAUAUA